This is a non-coding RNA of Vicugna pacos (alpaca), 108 nucleotides long. Lineage: Eukaryota; Metazoa; Chordata; Mammalia; Artiodactyla; Camelidae. The record is from RefSeq and is a predicted model, not a curated record.
ACUAACAUGCAAGCCAACAGGUCAUCGGUCAGGUGGUCAUUAGAGCUAUGGGGUAAAGCAGAGGGCGGAGGUGAUGGGAAAUGCUGGUGGGGCCAAACACGUGACUCU